This 490-nucleotide ribosomal RNA is filed under the name uncultured bacterium. RNAcentral's name for it is "partial 16S ribosomal RNA". It matches the Rfam family "Bacterial small subunit ribosomal RNA", at positions 28 to 507 of the family's 1533-position model. The record is from RNAcentral.
GAUGAACGCUAGCUACAGGCUUAACACAUGCCAGUCGCGGGGCAGCAUGGGGGUUGCUUGCAAUCCCCGAUGGCGACCGGCGCACGGGUGAGUAACGCGUAUCCAACCUGCCCUUCACCACGGGAUAACCCGGCGAAAGUCGGACUAAUACCGUAUGUUGUCCAUUGACGGCCUCCGAUUUGGACGAAAGGUUUGGCGGUGAAGGAUGGGGAUGCGUCCGAUUAGCUGGACGGCGGGGUGACGGCCCACCGUGGCGACGAUCGGUAGGGGUUCUGAGAGGAAGGUCCCCCACACUGGAACUGAGACACGGUCCAGACUCCUACGGGAGGCAGCAGUGAGGAAUAUUGGUCAAUGGGCGUAAGCCUGAACCAGCCAAGUAGCGUGCAGGAUGACGGCCCUAUGGGUUGUAAACUGCUUUUAUGCGGGGAUAAAGUGGCCCACGUGUGGGUUUUUGCAGGUACCGCAUGAAUAAGGACCGGCUAAUUCCGUG